RNAcentral lists this ribosomal RNA (495 nucleotides) under uncultured bacterium. RNAcentral's name for it is "partial 16S ribosomal RNA". It matches the Rfam family "Bacterial small subunit ribosomal RNA", at positions 28 to 507 of the family's 1533-position model. The record is from RNAcentral.
GACGAACGCUGGCGGCGUGCCUAAUACAUGCAAGUAGAACGCUGAAGGAGGAGCUUGCUUCUCUGGAUGAGUUGCGAACGGGUGAGUAACGCGUAGGUAACCUGCCUGGUAGCGGGGGAUAACUAUUGGAAACGAUAGCUAAUACCGCAUAAUAGUAGAUGUUGCAUGACAUUUGCUUAAAAGGUGCAAUUGCAUCACUACCAGAUGGACCUGCGUUGUAUUAGCUAGUUGGUGGGGUAACGGCUCACCAAGGCGACGAUACAUAGCCGACCUGAGAGGGUGAGCGGCCACACUGGGACCGGGACACGGCCCAGACUCCUACGGGAGGCAGCAGUAGGGAAUCUUCGGCAAGGGACGGAAGUCUGACCGAGCAACGCCGCGGGAGUGAAGAAGGUUGUCGGAUCGUAAAGCUCUGUUGUAAGAGAAGAACGAGUGUGGGAGUGGAAAGUUCACACUGUGACGGUAUCUUACCAGAAAGGGACGGCUAACUACGUG